RNAcentral lists this ribosomal RNA (488 nucleotides) under uncultured bacterium. Its description in RNAcentral is "bacterial SSU rRNA". It matches the Rfam family "Bacterial small subunit ribosomal RNA", at positions 42 to 523 of the family's 1533-position model. The record is from RNAcentral.
GCGUGCUUCACACAUAGCAAGUCGAACGGAGUUUAUUUUUGAAGCUUGUUUUUAGAAUUACUUAGUGGCGGACUGGUGAGUAACGCGUGAGUAAUCUGCCUAUCACAGGGGGAUAACAGGAGGGAAACUUUCUGACUAAUACCGCAUAAGACCACAGGAUGGCAUCAUCAAGGGGUCAAAGGUUAGAUCUGGUGAUAGAUGAGCUUGCGUAUCAUUAGCUAGUUGGUGAGGGGUAAAGGCCCCACCAAGGCGACGAUGAUUAGCCGAUCUGAGAGGAUGACCGGCCACACUGGGACUGAGAUACGGCCCAGACUCCUACGGGAGGCAGGCAGUUUAGGAAUAUUGGGCAAUGGAGGAAACUCUGACCCAGCAACGCCGCGUGAAGGUAAGAAGGUUUUCGGACUGUAAACUUCUGAUCUAAGGGAAAAAGAAAGUGAUGGUACCUUAGGAGAAAGCCACGGCUAACUACGUGCCAGCAGCCGCGGUAA